This 252-nucleotide ribosomal RNA is filed under the name uncultured bacterium. RNAcentral's name for it is "partial 16S ribosomal RNA". It matches the Rfam family "Bacterial small subunit ribosomal RNA", at positions 524 to 776 of the family's 1533-position model. The record is from RNAcentral.
UACAGAGGGUGCGAGCGUUAUCGGAAUUACUGGGCGUAAAGCGCACGUAGGCGGCUUGGUAUGUCGGGUGUGAAAUCCCCGGGCUCAACCUGGGAACUGCAUCCGAAACUGCCUUGCUAGAGUAUGGGAGAGGGAAGUGGAAUUUCCGGUGUAGCGGUGAAAUGCGUAGAUAUCGGAAGGAACAUCAGUGGCGAAGGCGACUUCCUGGACCAAUACUGACGCUCAGGUGCGAAAGCGUGGGGAGCAAACAGG